UGUGAGACGUUAGCAAAAGUUCACUUGAAUGCCGCCGUUUUGAACACAUUUGCGCCGCAUGUUAAGCAGAAUUAAUAGCAGUUUAGCUCGCCGUAUGUGGCAACAACAAUCCUUCAACAAUCGUUAAUGUUUUGUUAAAUGCACAUGCAGAGGCAGUGGUUUCAUUCGGGCAAAGAAAAAGCUGCCUGCGGUGAAAAAUGGAGCAACAAGGCUGACCGUGACAUCGGGAGAGCUGAGGCAGAUCAUCUUAAACAUGAUGCACCUGGACGGUCCGGUGGCGGAGACUUCAAGAAUUAAAUAAAAUUACAAUGAAAUGGAUAA
Long non-coding RNA from Sardina pilchardus (European sardine), 321 nucleotides. RefSeq lists it as uncharacterized. The transcript is spliced from 2 exons. The record is from RefSeq and is a predicted model, not a curated record. Lineage: Eukaryota; Metazoa; Chordata; Actinopteri; Clupeiformes; Clupeidae.